This is a long non-coding RNA of Magnolia sinica, 702 nucleotides long. RefSeq lists it as uncharacterized. NCBI's taxonomy places the organism in Eukaryota, Viridiplantae, Streptophyta, Magnoliopsida, Magnoliales, Magnoliaceae. The record is from RefSeq and is a predicted model, not a curated record. The transcript is spliced from 3 exons.
CUCCCUCUCUUCCACUUUUCCCUCAUCUUCCAUCGAGAAAUCCUCCCAGGGCCGUUGGAGCGUCAUCGUCCAUCGACCAUCACCUUUAAACGGAAGGCCCUGUGUUCCGUUUCACCUCCACUGAGAAAUUAUGUCAUAUGUAGGGCCUUCUAGUUCUGCCCCCAGGAAGCACCACAAGGAUAAAAGUUUCAACCAGUCCAAUUGGAGAGAUUACUGGAGAUAACAAAAAUCAAUUCACCUCAUUUCUAGGAAAUGUGCUCAGGACUCAUUGUUCAAUUGCAUACAAAGACUGGCGGCUUAUGCCAGAUACCAUCAAGGAUAAUGUUUGGUCAACUGUUUUGGCCAAAUAUGAUGUUGACGACAGUGACAACUGUAAAAGUGCCAUAAUUAAGCAUGCUAAUGAUAUAUGGAAGGACUGGAAGAACCGAUUACGAGGAAGUGUCCUGGAUAUGUAUGAUAAUGAUGGAGAUAAAAAAUUUGCCCUAAUGGUGUCAAGCUAGAAGAUUGGGUCAAAUUCGUUGAUUACGAAUCUACAUAAGAGGCGAAGUCUCGUUGUGGAAAGGGAAAGGAAUUCAGAAGAUAGAUGAAGUUCCCUCACACGACUGGUCGACAGGGGUCUGCUAGGAUGGCAGAGUUGAUUGUAAGUUUUUAACAUAAUUUUAAUUUCUUUUAAUCCAAUUUAAGAAUACAAAAUAAUUAACA